AAGAUGUUUCUACUAAAUGGCGUUAAUGUUUUAGCCAAAAUUUUUUAGUAGAGCGUAUCCAUGUGUGCGAUCCAACAAUCUGAACCCUGUAACCUAUCGCAUACAACUCUUUCAGACGUGUCCUAAUGGGCGUGGUUCAUGAGAAUAAGCCGCUUGUAUACUACCCCUUUUUAUUUUGAAAAAGUCAUAUAAGGGUGAGGCCCUAAACAAUCAAAUUAAGGGGCACCUCAAAAAUUUCUUAGAAAA
This 246-nucleotide long non-coding RNA is filed under the name Amborella trichopoda. RNAcentral's name for it is "long non-coding RNA (ATRI_LNC003309)". The record is from RNAcentral. Lineage: Eukaryota; Viridiplantae; Streptophyta; Magnoliopsida; Amborellales; Amborellaceae.